GACGAACGCUGGCGGCGUGCUUAACACAUGCCAGUCGAACGGAAAGGCCCUGCUUUUGUGGGGUGCUCGAGUGGCGAACGGGUGAGUAACACGUGAGUAACCUGCCCUUGACUUUGGGAUAACUUCAGGAAACUGGGGCUAAUACCGGAUAGGAGCUCCUGCUGCAUGGUGGGGGUUGGAAAGUUUCGGCGGUUGGGGAUGGACUCGCGGCUUAUCAGCUUGUUGGUGGGGUAGUGCUUACCAAGGCUUUGACGGGUAGCCGGCCUGAGAGGGUGACCGGCCACAUUGGGACUGAGAUACGGCCCAGACUCCUACGGGAGGCAGCAGUGGGGAAUAUUGCACAAUGGGCGGAAGCCUGAUGCAGCAACGCCGCGUGCGGGAUGACGGCCUUCGGGUUGUAAACCGCUUUCGCCUGUGACGAAGCGUGAGUGACGGUAAUGGGUAAAGAAGCACCGGCUAACUACGUG
This 467-nucleotide ribosomal RNA is filed under the name uncultured bacterium. Its description in RNAcentral is "partial 16S ribosomal RNA". It matches the Rfam family "Bacterial small subunit ribosomal RNA", at positions 28 to 507 of the family's 1533-position model. The record is from RNAcentral.